Molecule: ribosomal RNA, 352 nt
Filed under: uncultured crenarchaeote
Lineage: Archaea; Thermoproteati; Thermoproteota
Description: partial 16S ribosomal RNA
Rfam family: Archaeal small subunit ribosomal RNA
Source: RNAcentral
UUGGGCCUAAGCUCCGUAGCCGGCGCUGUAAGUUUUCGGUUAAAUCUGUACGCUCAACGUACAGGCUGCCGGGAAUACUGCAGCGCUAGGGAGUGGGAGAGGUAGACGGUACUCGGUAGGAAGGGGUAAAAUCCUUUGAUCUAUUGAUGACCACCUGUGGCGAAGGCGGUCUACCAGAACACGUCCGACGGUGAGGGAUGAAAGCUGGGGGAGCAAACCGGAUUAGAUACCCGGGUAGUCCCAGCUGUAAACUAUGCAAACUCANUGAUGCAUUGGCUUGUGGCCAAUGCAGUGCUGCANGGAANCCNUUAANUUUGCCNCCUGGNAANUACNUACGCAAGUAUGAAACUUA